AAGACUAUAGACCUGCGGAGUACCUGCGGAAGGAUCAUUACAGAGUUGCAAAACUCCCAAACCAUUGUGAACGUUACCUUCUCGUUGCUUCGGCGGGCGGCCCGGGUCCUUCCCGGCGCCCCCCGGCCCCUCGCGGGCGCCCGCCGGAGGUAAACCAAACUCUUGAAUUGUAUGGCCUCUCUGAGUCUUCUGUACUGAAUAAGUCAAAACUUUUAACAAUGGAUCUCUAGAUCGGAAGAG
RNAcentral lists this unclassified non-coding RNA (240 nucleotides) under soil metagenome. RNAcentral's name for it is "partial contains 5.8S ribosomal RNA, internal transcribed spacer 2, and large subunit ribosomal RNA". The record is from RNAcentral.